This is a long non-coding RNA of Bos taurus (domestic cattle), 377 nucleotides long. NCBI's taxonomy places the organism in Eukaryota, Metazoa, Chordata, Mammalia, Artiodactyla, Bovidae. The record is from Ensembl.
GGAAAGCCAGCCUGUGCUCUGGGGAGCAGCAAGCUCAACCCCACCAGCCUAGAGCAGGGGGCCCAGACCUGAGGCUAAGAGGAGGAAACUGGAGCAGAGAGGAGCCAGAUGCUCAAGAUCACAGCUGGACAUGGAACUGGAAUCCAGGUGAUAAGGCGGCAACAGCUGAGCUAGGAGUCACGUGACUGUUCUGCCUUCUCCUACCUUGCAUGGAUUUUAAGAAUGAGGAAGUCAAGCACCAGAGAGGUGAAGAUGACAGGGCCAAUAAGGCAUGCCAGGCCUCCCUGUCCAUCACCAACUCCCGGAGUUCACUCAAACUCACGUCCAUUGAGUUGGUGAUGCCAUCCAGCCAUCUCAUCCUCUGUCAUCCCCUUCUC